This 520-nucleotide ribosomal RNA is filed under the name uncultured bacterium. RNAcentral describes it as "bacterial SSU rRNA". It matches the Rfam family "Bacterial small subunit ribosomal RNA", at positions 8 to 525 of the family's 1533-position model. The record is from RNAcentral.
AGAGUUUGAUCCUGGCUCAGAUUGAACGCUGGCGGCAUGCCUUACACAUGCAAGUCGAACGGCAGCGCGGGGCAACCUGGCGGCGAGUGGCGAACGGGUGAGUAAUAUAUCGGAACGUGCCCUGGAGUGGGGGAUAACGCAGCGAAAGUUGCGCUAAUACCGCAUACGAUCUAAGGAUGAAAGCAGGGGACCGCAAGGCCUUGUGCUCCUGGAGCGGCCGAUAUCUGAUUAGCUAGUUGGUGGGGUAAAGGCCUACCAAGGCAUCGAUCAGUAGCUGGUCUGAGAGGACGACCAGCCACACUGGAACUGAGACACGGUCCAGACUCCUACGGGAGGCAGCAGUGGGGAAUUUUGGACAAUGGGCGAAAGCCUGAUCCAGCAAUGCCGCGUGAGUGAAGAAGGCCUUCGGGUUGUAAAGCUCUUUUGUCAGGGAAGAAACGGUAUGGGCUAAUAUCCCGYACUAAUGACGGUACCUGAAGAAUAAGCACCGGCUAACUACGUGCCAGCAGCCGCGGUAAUA